UACGAAGGGGGCUAGCGUUGUUCGGAAUUACUGGGCGUAAAGCGCGCGCAGGCGGUUUUCCAAGUCAGUGGUGAAAGCCCGGAGCUCAACUCCGGAAUUGCCAUUGAAACUGGUUGACUUGAGGACGAGAGAGGUGAGUGGAAUUCCCAGUGUAGAGGUGAAAUUCGUAGAUAUUGGGAAGAACACCGGUGGCGAAGGCGGCUCACUGGCUCGUUUCUGACGCUCAGGCGCGACAGCGUGGGGAUCAAACAGG
Molecule: unclassified non-coding RNA, 253 nt
Filed under: uncultured Alphaproteobacteria bacterium
Lineage: Bacteria; Pseudomonadati; Pseudomonadota; Alphaproteobacteria
Description: contains 16S-23S intergenic spacer region
Rfam family: Bacterial small subunit ribosomal RNA
Source: RNAcentral